Molecule: microRNA, 22 nt
Filed under: Caenorhabditis brenneri
Lineage: Eukaryota; Metazoa; Nematoda; Chromadorea; Rhabditida; Rhabditidae
Description: cbn-miR-56
Gene: cbn-miR-56
Source: miRBase by way of RNAcentral
UACCCGUAAUGUUUCCGCCGAG